GUGCCAGCCGCCGCGGUAAUACGUAGGUGGCGAGCGUUAUCCGGAAUUAUUGGGCGUAAAGGGAGCGUAGGCGGUUUAUUAAGUCUAAGGUGAAAGUUCGGGGCUCAACCCCGUGAUGCCUUAGAAACUGGUAGACUUGAGUACAGGAGAGGUGAGUGGAAUUCCAUGUGUAGCGGUAAAAUGCGUAGAUAUAUGGAGGAACACCAGUGGCGAAGGCGGCUCACUGGCCUGUAACUGACGCUGAGGCUCGAAAGCGUGGGAGCAAAUAGGAUUAGAUACCCUAGUAGUCCACGCCGUAAACGAUGGAUACUAAGUGUUGGACGGAAGUUCAGUGCUGCAGUUAACGCAAUAGUAUCCCGCCUGGGAGUAUGCGCGCAAG
This 379-nucleotide ribosomal RNA is filed under the name uncultured Erysipelothrix sp. RNAcentral describes it as "bacterial SSU rRNA". It matches the Rfam family "Bacterial small subunit ribosomal RNA", at positions 505 to 892 of the family's 1533-position model. The record is from RNAcentral. Lineage: Bacteria; Bacillati; Bacillota; Erysipelotrichia; Erysipelotrichales; Erysipelotrichaceae.